GGACGCUUAGACAUUUAAAAAGCGCUGUGCAUUAUUUUUUUACAAUUGAAUAUAAGACAAUCCGUGUAUUUUUUUGUAAAAUGUUUAGUGGCACCGUCCACUGUGGAGUGAAGGGGAUGUUGGUAACCGGACCUCAGCCUGGCUCAGCUGCUCUGAAUAACGUUGCCAAUUUCGCCUGAAGGCUUGACUAAAGUAAAAAUGAAAGCAGUGUAGCACCAACCGCUGCUUCUUUGUUCCAGUUGAGUUAUCCAACGUGUACCUCAUUUCUAGAUGGAUCUUCCUUCAAAGCAUCACCUCCAUAUGGAAUAAUGCGAUGGCUGCUUAACUAAAGGGUCAGCAAUUCAAAAGUUAAUCAGUAUCAAACCCUGAUUGUCUAACAGCACCAGGCACCAGAAACUUUAUCAGAGCUGGCUGUCGCUCUGCAAAUGCUGGGUAAACUUGUUAUCACCAACAGUACAUCCCUGAUGCACGCCUACACUGCAGAGCUUUACCCAACAGUGCUCAGGAACACAGCGACAGGCGUUUGCAUUACUGUUUCCAGAAUAGGAAGCUGCCUUGCUCCUUUUUUGUUAAGCUGAGUGAGUCGAUUUGUCUUCAAUAUCAGGUACUAUCUAGUUUAACCUGAAUUUGUGUAGCACAUCAACACAUUUCUGUGGAUAAUCAGCCCCUAUUUGUUGUUUGGAUGCUCUGUACACACUUUUAUUUUCCCCUUCUCCUUGUACAGGUGAAUAUUUUGAGUACCUGCCUUAUAUCACACUGGGGACUCUGGCUGUUGUUUCUGCCUUUUCUGUUAUUUUCCUGGCAGAGAGUUUUGGACAACCUCAAACUAUUCAACAGAUGCAAAAAAGAGAAAGGUGGGUAGCUUAUGGGGUAAAAGAUGCAGUCACCGUAGCUGAAACAAACAAGAAGGUAUUGUACCAGAACAACCACAGAACUUCCUGAUACUGGAUGUUCAGACAAGAUAAUGGCAACAAAAACUGCAACAAAACAUCUCAUAUUAUUCUUUAAUAUAGCCACCAAAACCAACCCCUCCUUAUCCUCAUCAUCCACAUGACUCUUGAGAGGAUAUGAUGACUUUUUAUAGUUUACGUACAUGUUUAUGAGGUUAAAAAUUGAAUUAGUAGAAAUUAAACAAUAUUCAAACAUUUCCUUUUUGCUGACAACCAAAUAAUGGUUUCUUUAUUUGCAUUUUAUCCCAACAGCUUGAAGUGCCCGUGCAUAACAAGAAAACAACAUUCAUAACUUGCUGUGCUUGACGAAAGUCGAUUGAUUGUCUUAAAAAUUGCUUAUAUAAACAUUGUACUAUUAAUUGUAUAUAAUUCAUACCAGUUACUGUUGUUCCUAAUCAACAUUACCUUCUGGUAAAUGCAAUCUGUAUUAAUCGAUUUAAUUACAUUUUUUAUGAGGAAUAACAUUGAAGUAAUUAAAGCUCGACCAAUACAUUUUGGAGUAUUUGUACAUGCACUUUAUGAAUGUUAUCACAAAUCACAUAGAUGUAUACAACACAUUAACAUGGAUGUGCUUUGCAACAUGAGUGUUUGGUGCUAAUUCUAAAUUAAUUAAUACAAAAUAAAAAAAACACACAAUUGUGUUGUUUGAAUAACUGUCAAGGUC
This is a long non-coding RNA of Trematomus bernacchii (emerald rockcod), 1614 nucleotides long. RefSeq lists it as uncharacterized. The transcript is spliced from 3 exons. NCBI's taxonomy places the organism in Eukaryota, Metazoa, Chordata, Actinopteri, Perciformes, Nototheniidae. The record is from RefSeq and is a predicted model, not a curated record.